Molecule: non-coding RNA, 69 nt
Filed under: Proboscia inermis
Lineage: Eukaryota; Bacillariophyta; Melosirophyceae; Probosciales; Probosciaceae
Source: RNAcentral
UAAAUAAAAAGUUAGUUCAUAAUAUACAGUGUUUAAUUUAUGUUUGAAAUAUAUAUAUAUAUAUUUGUA